GGGGAUUUAGCUCAGCGGUAGAGCGCAUGCCUAGCAAGCAAAAGGCCCUGGGUUCCGUCCCCAGCUCCG
Molecule: transfer RNA, 69 nt
Filed under: Rattus norvegicus (Norway rat)
Lineage: Eukaryota; Metazoa; Chordata; Mammalia; Rodentia; Muridae
Rfam family: tRNA
About the family: Transfer RNA (tRNA) molecules are approximately 80 nucleotides in length. Their secondary structure includes four short double-helical elements and three loops (D, anti-codon, and T loops). Further hydrogen bonds mediate the characteristic L-shaped molecular structure. tRNAs have two regions of fundamental functional importance: the anti-codon, which is responsible for specific mRNA codon recognition, and the 3' end, to which the tRNAs corresponding amino acid is attached (by aminoacyl-tRNA synthetases). tRNAs cope with the degeneracy of the genetic code in two manners: having more than one tRNA (with a specific anti-codon) for a particular amino acid; and 'wobble' base-pairing, i.e. permitting non-standard base-pairing at the 3rd anti-codon position.
Source: Rfam by way of RNAcentral